RNAcentral lists this long non-coding RNA (556 nucleotides) under Daucus carota (carrot). RNAcentral describes it as "long non-coding RNA (DCAR_LNC006454)". Lineage: Eukaryota; Viridiplantae; Streptophyta; Magnoliopsida; Apiales; Apiaceae. The record is from RNAcentral.
UAAACUGGUGUUGGUGGUGGUGGAGAGUGCAUUGGUGGUGGUGGAGACUUGUAUUUGUAGACCGGUGUUGGUGGUGGUGGGGAAUGCUCGGGUGGUGGUGGAGAUUUAUAAACUGGAGUUGGUGGUGGUGGAGACUUGUACUUGUAAUGGUGUACUGGUGCGGGAGAAUGCUUAGGUGGUGGUGGAGACUUGUACUUGUAGACGGGUGUUGGAGGUGGUGGAGAUUUAUACUUGUAGACCGGUGUUGGUGGUGGUGGAGACUUGUACUUAUAGUGAUGUUCUGGUGCGGGAGAAUGCUUAGGUGGUGGUGGAGACUUGUACUUAUAGUGAUGUUCUGGUGCAGGAGAAUGCUUAGGUGGUGGUGGAGAUUUGUACUUAUAAACCGGUGUUGGUGGUGGUGGAGACUUGUACUUAUAAUGAUGCACUGGUGCGGGGGAAUGCUUAGGUGGUGGUGGAGAUUUAUACUUGUAAACCGGUGUUGGUGGUGGUGGAGAAUGUUUUGGCGGAGGUGGAGACUCAAAAUGAUAAGGCGUUGGAGGAGAAUGCAUAGGAGGUG